GACGAACGCUGGCGGCGUGCUUAACACAUGCAAGUCGAACGGAAAGGCCCUGCUUGCAGGGUGCUCGAGUGGCGAACGGGUGAGUAACACGUGGGUGAUCUGCCCCUUACUUUGGGAUAAGCCUGGGAAACUGGGUCUAAUACUGGAUAGGACCAUGCUGUAGGUGGUGUGGUGGAGAGAUUAGUUUCGGUAAGGGAUGAGCUCGCGGCCUAUCAGCUUGUUGGUGGGGUAAUGGCCUACCAAGGCGUCGACGGGUAGCCGGCCUGAGAGGGUGGACGGCCACAUUGGGACUGAGAUACGGCCCAGACUCCUACGGGAGGCAGCAGUGGGGAAUAGUGUACAAUGGGCGCAAGCCUGAUGCAGCGACGCCGCGUGGGGGAUGACGGCCUUCGGGUUGUAAACUCCUUUCAGCCAUGACGAAGCCCUUGUGGUGACGGUAGUGGUAGAAGAAGCACCGGCUAACUACGUG
This 469-nucleotide ribosomal RNA is filed under the name uncultured bacterium. RNAcentral's name for it is "partial 16S ribosomal RNA". It matches the Rfam family "Bacterial small subunit ribosomal RNA", at positions 28 to 507 of the family's 1533-position model. The record is from RNAcentral.